Molecule: ribosomal RNA, 253 nt
Filed under: uncultured prokaryote
Description: partial 16S ribosomal RNA
Rfam family: Bacterial small subunit ribosomal RNA
Source: RNAcentral
GACGAACUGUCCAAACGUUGUUCGGAAUCACUGGGCUUAAAGGGCGCGUAGGUGGUCAAACAAGUCAGGGGUGAAAUCCUGCAGCUCAACUGUAGAAGUGCCUCUGAUACUGUUUGUCUAGAGGGAGAUAGGGGUGUGCGGAACUUCCAGUGGAGCGGUGAAAUGCGUUGAUAUUGGAAGGAACGCCGGAGGCGAAAGCGGCGCACUGGAUCUCUUCUGACGCUGAGGCGCGAAAGCCAGGGGAGCAAACGGG